RNAcentral lists this ribosomal RNA (253 nucleotides) under uncultured bacterium. Its description in RNAcentral is "partial 16S ribosomal RNA". It matches the Rfam family "Bacterial small subunit ribosomal RNA", at positions 524 to 776 of the family's 1533-position model. The record is from RNAcentral.
UACGUAGGGUGCGAGCGUUGUCCGGAAUUAUUGGGCGUAAAGCGCUCGUAGGCGGUUUGUUGCGUCGGCCGUGAAAACCUGCAGCUUAACUGUGGGCCUGCGGCCGAUACGGGCAGACUUGAGUUCGGUAGGGGAGACUGGAAUUCCUGGUGUAGCGGUGAAAUGCGUAGAUAUCAGGAGGAACACCUGCGGUGUAGACGGCUUACUGGACCAUAACUGACGCUGAGGCACGAAAGCGUGGGUAGCAAACAGG